CCACGGUGAAAAGGGUGUUAAAUGAAGACUUAGGGCUUCAGGCAUAUCGAAUAAAAACAGGACAUCGUUUUAAUGCUCGUCUAAUGGA
Molecule: non-coding RNA, 88 nt
Organism: Bombyx mori (domestic silkworm)
Lineage: Eukaryota; Metazoa; Arthropoda; Insecta; Lepidoptera; Bombycidae
Source: Rfam